GGGGAAUAUUGCGCAAUGGGGGAAACCCUGACGCAGCAACGCCGCGUGAAGGAAGAAGGUCUUCGGAUUGUAAACUUUUGUCUUAUGGGAAGAGUAGAAGACGGUACCCCUUGAAUAAGCCACGGCUAACUACGUGCCAGCAGCCGCGGUAAUACGUAGGUGGCAAGCGUUGUCCGGAUUUACUGGGUGUAAAGGGCGUGUAGCCGGGAAGGCAAGUCAGAUGUGAAAUCUGGAGGCUCAACCUCCAAACUGCAUUUGAAACUGCUUUUCUUGAGUGUCGGAGAGGUAAUCGGAAUUCCUUGUGUAGCGGUGAAAUGCGUAGAUAUAAGGAAGAACACCAGUGGCGAAGGCGGAUUACUGGACGAUAACUGACGGUGAGGCGCGAAAGCGUGGGGAGCAAACA
RNAcentral lists this ribosomal RNA (403 nucleotides) under uncultured Oscillibacter sp. Its description in RNAcentral is "bacterial SSU rRNA". It matches the Rfam family "Bacterial small subunit ribosomal RNA", at positions 356 to 774 of the family's 1533-position model. The record is from RNAcentral. Lineage: Bacteria; Bacillati; Bacillota; Clostridia; Eubacteriales; Oscillospiraceae.